CAGGUUCCAAUCUUAGGCAUAGCAUAUGGUCUAUCAACUCACUCGUCUGCAUAGUGCAGAAGAAAGGACCAUAUGUUGUGUGAAGCAAAUAAGUGCCUCAGAAGAAAAGCUGUUACCUGCAACGCUGGGCUCUUGUGUGUUACCUGCAAUGCUAGGCUCUUGUGAGAGCAUCCUUUCAGAUUUUCUCUUCUCUGGUAUGACGAUGCUUCCCACUGUAUUCGA
Long non-coding RNA from Lolium rigidum, 222 nucleotides. RefSeq lists it as uncharacterized. The transcript has 3 exons. NCBI's taxonomy places the organism in Eukaryota, Viridiplantae, Streptophyta, Magnoliopsida, Poales, Poaceae. The record is from RefSeq and is a predicted model, not a curated record.